AACGAACGCUGGCGGCAUGCCUAACACAUGCAAGUCGAACGAGACCUUCGGGUCUAGUGGCGCACGGGUGCGUAACGCGUGGGAAUCUGCCCUUCGGUUGGGAAUAUCUGAGAGAAAUUUCAGCUAAUACCUUAUAAUGUCUUCGGACCAAAGAUUUAUCGCCGAGGGAUGAGCCCGCGUAGGAUUAGGUAGUUGGUGGGGUAAUGGCCUACCAAGCCGACGAUCCUUAGCUGGUCUGAGAGGAUGAUCAGCCACACUGGGACUGAGACACGGCCCAGACUCCUACGGGAGGCAGCAGUGGGGAAUAUUGGACAAUGGGCGAAAGCCUGAUCCAGCAACGCCGCGUGAGUGAUGAAGGCCUUAGGGUUGUAAAGCUCUUUUACUCGGGAUGAUAAUGACAGUACCGGGAGAAUAAGCUCCGGCUAACUCCGUGCCAGCAGCCGCCGUAA
RNAcentral lists this ribosomal RNA (449 nucleotides) under uncultured bacterium. RNAcentral's name for it is "partial 16S ribosomal RNA". It matches the Rfam family "Bacterial small subunit ribosomal RNA", at positions 29 to 523 of the family's 1533-position model. The record is from RNAcentral.